RNAcentral lists this unclassified non-coding RNA (519 nucleotides) under Zea mays. RNAcentral's name for it is "misc RNA Zm00001eb266080". The record is from RNAcentral. Lineage: Eukaryota; Viridiplantae; Streptophyta; Magnoliopsida; Poales; Poaceae.
UCAAGCUCGUUCUCGCAAAUGGCAUUAUACAUCACCAGCAUUUCUCAUCCAUCACCACUCCUCCUCACACUCAAUUACCGCGAUCGACUGUCGCCUCCGCAGGCGGUGGCGGCGACGGCUCGUCGUCGGGGCUCCAGAAGUCGCUGGGCCCAGAGGGCGGGAUGAUCUUACGCGGCAGCAGAUCCCCAACCACGCCAUGUGACGUCGUCGACGGAGGCAGCACGCCGUCCAAGCAAGGCCGUGCAUUCGCCACCGUUGCCAGGAGCGUCGCCGCUACUAGUACCAACACCGCCACCGUCGCCGUCGCCCUGGCGGCGGCAGUGUUCUUGUUGCUAGUCAUGGCUUCUGUUCCUUCCUUUGUUUUUGUAUAGGAGAGUGUACCGUGGUGGUGCCCUGGUGAUGGACUACUCGUAACGUGUAAUAUAUAUAUGGUUGAAAAAACGGCAGAUUUUGGCUUCUGUUCUUGUGGAGAGAAAAAAAAACGGCAGAUUUUCAAUGCACCGCCGCCGUGGUUUGGCA